GGAAGUGGCUCAGUGGUAGAGUGCUUGCCUGGCAUGUAUGAAGUCCUGGGUUGGAUCCCCAGUACCA
This 67-nucleotide transfer RNA is filed under the name Marmota monax (woodchuck). Its description in RNAcentral is "tRNA.Ala". The stretch from base 6 to 62 matches the Rfam family "tRNA", at positions 8 to 63 of the family's 71-position model. From Rfam's summary of the family: Transfer RNA (tRNA) molecules are approximately 80 nucleotides in length. Their secondary structure includes four short double-helical elements and three loops (D, anti-codon, and T loops). The record is from RNAcentral. Lineage: Eukaryota; Metazoa; Chordata; Mammalia; Rodentia; Sciuridae.